This 476-nucleotide ribosomal RNA is filed under the name unidentified nematode Sourhope farm. RNAcentral describes it as "SSU rRNA". It matches the Rfam family "Eukaryotic small subunit ribosomal RNA", at positions 58 to 529 of the family's 1831-position model. The record is from RNAcentral. Lineage: Eukaryota; Metazoa; Nematoda.
UCUAAGUAUAACCUGCCAGACAGGGAAACUGCGUACGGCUCAUUACACCAGCCUUCAUUUACUUGACCUUGACAACCUACUUGGAUAACCUGUGGUAAUUCUAGAGCUAAUACAUGCACCAAAGCUCCGAUCCUCGCGGAGAGGAGCGCAUUUGUUCGCCACAAAACCAAGCGCCCAUCUGGGCGUCCAGUGCUGAACCAGAACAACUCAGCUGAUCGCACGGUCUUGUACCGGCGACGUGUCUUUCAAGUGUCUGCCUUAUCAACUUUCGAUGGUAGUGUACCUGACUACCAUGGUUGUGACGGGUAACGGAGGAUAAGGGUUCGACUCCGGAGAAGGGGCCUGAGAAAUGGCCACUACGUCUAAGGAUGGCAGCCGGCGCGCAAAUUACCCACUCUCAACGCGAGGAGGUAGUGACGAGAAAUAACGAGACCGUUCUCAUACGAGGCCGGUUAUUGGAAUGGGUACAAUUUAAA